Molecule: ribosomal RNA, 639 nt
Filed under: Clostridioides difficile
Lineage: Bacteria; Bacillati; Bacillota; Clostridia; Peptostreptococcales; Peptostreptococcaceae
Description: partial 23S ribosomal RNA
Rfam family: Bacterial large subunit ribosomal RNA
Source: RNAcentral
GGAGCCAUCCUUGGGAUACCACCCUUGUAGUACUGGGACUCUAACCAUAGGCCAUGAAUCUGGUCUUGGGACACUGUCAGGUGGGCAGUUUGACUGGGGCGGUCGCCUCCCAAAAGGUAACGGAGGCGCUCAAAGGUUCUCUCAGUACGGUCGGCAAUCGUACGUAGAGUGUAAAGGCAAAAGAGAGCUUGAUUGCAAGACAUACAGGUCGAGCAAGGAUGAAAAUCGGACUUAGUGAUCCGGUGGUUCUGCGUGGAAGGGCCAUCGCUCAACGGAUAAAAGCUACCCUGGGGAUAACAGGCUUAUCUCCCCCAAGAGUCCACAUCGACGGGGAGGUUUGGCACCUCGAUGUCGGCUCAUCACAUCCUGGGGCUGUAGUAGGUCCCAAGGGUUGGGCUGUUCGCCCAUUAAAGUGGUACGCGAGCUGGGUUCAGAACGUCGUGAGACAGUUCGGUCCCUAUCCGUCGCAGGCGUAGGAAAUUUGAGAAGACCUGUCCUUAGUACGAGAGGACCGGGAUGGACGUACCUCUGGUGUACCAGUUGUUCUGCCAAGGGCAUGGCUGGGUAGCUAUGUACGGAAUGGAUAAGCGCUGAAAGCAUCUAAGCGCGAAGCCAACUUCAAGAUAAGAUUUCCCACCG